GCCCUUAGAGUUUGAUCCUGGCUCAAGAGGAACUCUGGCGGCGUGCUUAACACAUGCAAGUCGAGCGAAGCGGCUGAAUUGAUUCUUCGGAUGAUUUUUAGUUGACUGAGCGGCGGACGGGUGAGUAACGCGUGGGUGACCUGCCCCAUACCGGGGGAUAACAGCUGGAAACGGCUGCUAAUACCGCAUAAGCGCACAGAGCUGCGUGGCUCCGUGUGAAAAACUCCGGUGGUAUGGGAUGGGCCCGCGUCUGAUUACGCAGUUGGCGGGGUAACGGCCCACCAAACCGACGAUCAGUAGCCGGCCUGAGAGGGCGACCGGCCACAUUGGGACUGAGACACGGCCCUAACUCCUACGGGAGGCAGCAGUGGGNAAUAUUGCACAAUGGGGGAAACCCUGAUGCAGCGACGCCGCGUGAGCGAAGAAGUAUUUCGGUAUGUAAAGCUCUAUCAGCAGGGAAGAUAAUGACGGUACCUGACUAAGAAGCCCCGGCUAACCACGUGCCAGCAGCCGCGGUAAUACGUAGGGGGCAAGCGUUAUCCGGAUUUACUGGGUGUAAAGGGAGCGUAAACGGCAAGGCAAGUCUGAUGUGAAAACCCAGGGCUUAACCCUGGGACUGCAUUGGAAACUGUCUGGCUCGAGUGCCGGAGAGGUAAGCGGAAUUCCUAGUGUAGCGGUGAAAUGCGUAGAUAUUAGGAAGAACACCAGUGGCGAAGGCGGCUUACUGGACGGUAACUGACGUUGAGGCUCGAAAGCGUGGGGAGCAAACAGGAUUAGAUACCCUGGUAGUCCACGCCGUAA
Molecule: ribosomal RNA, 801 nt
Filed under: uncultured bacterium
Lineage: Bacteria
Description: bacterial SSU rRNA
Rfam family: Bacterial small subunit ribosomal RNA
Source: RNAcentral